This 832-nucleotide long non-coding RNA is filed under the name Physcomitrium patens. RNAcentral's name for it is "long non-coding RNA (PPAT_LNC006154)". The record is from RNAcentral. Lineage: Eukaryota; Viridiplantae; Streptophyta; Bryopsida; Funariales; Funariaceae.
AUCUAUUUUUAUUUAAUUAUAUAGAUAAAUAUGAAAAUAAAUAUGUACAUUUGAGACAUUACUUUUUUUUAGGAGCAAAUUUUACAAGGAGCAGUCAUCAAAUAUUAAAGAAAUUUAAGAUAUAACAAAUUAAAUUUUCUACAUACUCUAUUCUUUAACUUCUCUAAAGAUAAUUGAUAGGUCUUCUAAGCUAUUGAUAAUAUUUCAUACCGAGGUAAGAAGACCAUCCUAUUAUUUGAUUGUUAUUGAGGCCUUAGUGUAAUUGUUGUUUUACUUAUUCUACAAUUCUUUUCAGAAUAAACAUGUAUAGGGGAAUUUGAACACAAGAAAAGACUAAGUGCAUGAGCUUUACUUGUUAGGGUCACUCAAUUAAUUAUAUUUUAAACCACUAAAAUACUAAAAAAUACUACAAUGCUUCCUCCCAGUAAUAAUACUCCUUCAUCAACUCAUAACCACACUGUGUAACCCUACACUCUCAAAAGACAGCUCAAAACUCAAUAAAUUCCAUCCAACACCAUGAAUAACAGACUUCACUCCAAUCAAUCUGAAUUCACACAAUUUUUGUAAUCACAGACUUUUUCUCUUGAAAUACACACAACUCUCAAUAAAAAAUAAUCAUAAUCUUCCAUCCAUAAUCAAUUUUCCAAUAACUUCUCAUAUAAUUCAAUCACAUAAUAUUCUAAUUACAUAACUAAUAAUUCAUAAAUCAAUCUCUAAUUCAUUCCACAGACUCACUUCUCAGUAUUCAAAAACUAUCUAUUAUUCUUCAACAACAGAGAAACAAAAAAAACAAAGAGGAAGCACCAAGCUUAAUCCCAGCUCAUGACUAUCA